AACGAACGCUGGCGGCAUGCCUAACACAUGCAAGUCGAACGAGACCUUCGGGUCUAGUGGCGCACGGGUGCGUAACGCGUGGGAACCUGCCCUUAGGUUCGGAAUAACUCAGAGAAAUUUGAGCUAAUACCGGAUAAUGUCUUCGGACCAAAGAUUUAUCGCCUUUGGAUGGGCCCGCGUAGGAUUAGCUUGUUGGUGGGGUAAUGGCCUACCAAGGCGACGAUCCUUAGCUGGUCUGAGAGGAUGAUCAGCCACACUGGGACUGAGACACGGCCCAGACUCCUACGGGAGGCAGCAGUGGGGAAUAUUGGACAAUGGGCGAAAGCCUGAUCCAGCAAUGCCGCGUGAGUGAUGAAGGCCUUAGGGUUGUAAAGCUCUUUUACCAGGGAUGAUAAUGACAGUACCUGGAGAAUAAGCUCCGGCUAACUCCGUGCCAGCCGCCGCGGUAA
This 449-nucleotide ribosomal RNA is filed under the name uncultured bacterium. Its description in RNAcentral is "partial 16S ribosomal RNA". It matches the Rfam family "Bacterial small subunit ribosomal RNA", at positions 29 to 523 of the family's 1533-position model. The record is from RNAcentral.